GUCGACGGCAGCACGGGAGCAAUCCUGGUGGCGAGUGGCGAACGGGUGAGUAAUGUAUCGGAACGUACCUUUCAGUGGGGGAUAACGUAGCGAAAGUUACGCUAAUACCGCAUAUUCUGUGAGCAGGAAAGCAGGGGAUCGCAAGACCUUGCGCUGAUUGAGCGGCCGAUAUCAGAUUAGCUAGUUGGUGAGGUAAAGGCUCACCAAGGCGACGAUCUGUAGCGGGUCUGAGAGGAUGAUCCGCCACACUGGAACUGAGACACGGUCCAGACUCCUACGGGAGGCAGCAGUGGGGAAUUUUGGACAAUGGGGGCAACCCUGAUCCAGCCAUGCCGCGUGAGUGAAGAAGGCCUUCGGGUUGUAAAGCUCUUUCAGCCGGGAAGAAAUCACAUGGGUUAAUACCCUGUGUGGAUGACGGUACCGGAAUAAGAAGCACCGGCUAACUACGUGCCAGCAGCCGCGGUAAUACGUAGGGUGCGAGCGUUAAUCGGAAUUACUGGGCGUAAAGCGUGCGCAGGCGGUUUGUUAAGAUAGGCGUGAAAUCCCCGGGCUCAACCUGGGAACUGCGUUUAUGACUGGCAGGCUAGAGUAUGGCAGAGGGGGGUGGAAUUCCACGUGUAGCAGUGAAAUGCGUAGAGAUGUGGAGGAACACCGAUGGCGAAGGCAGCCCCCUGGGCCAAUACUGACGCUCAUGCACGAAAGCGUGGGUAGCAAACAGGAUUAGAUACCCUGGUAGUC
This 738-nucleotide ribosomal RNA is filed under the name uncultured bacterium. RNAcentral's name for it is "bacterial SSU rRNA". It matches the Rfam family "Bacterial small subunit ribosomal RNA", at positions 61 to 795 of the family's 1533-position model. The record is from RNAcentral.